GAACCAGGAUCAGCCAAGUCCAAUCUCAGUUUUAGAACCCCCAUUUGAAGAGGAUGACAACACGAUUCCAGAGCUUUCUGGAAAUAUCAGGCCAAACUGCCGGGGAGCAGAGGUGCCUCUUAAGUCCAAUUUGAUUGACAAAUCACCACGUAUAGAAUCAAUUGCGAGGACUAUGUCAUGGGAUGAUUCUUGUUUAGAGACAGCUACACCAUAUUCAUUAAAACCCUCUUCAAUCUCUUCCUAUGCUGAGGAAGAAGAACAGGAGGACUGGCCUGCCUUAAUCCAAACACUGUUAUCAGCAGCUGGCCUUGAUGGCAACAUGCAAUUAGAUUCAUUUUUUGCCAGAUGGCAUUCACAUGAUAGCCCAUUAGAUCAAGCAUUGAGAAACAAAUAUGCUAACCUAAAUGACAAAGAACUGCUGCAUGAGGCGAAGCGAAGGCAAAGGAGAUCAAAUGGGAAACUUGUAUUUGACUGUGUCAAUGCAGCACUCAUGGAAAUCACUGAAUGUGGGUCGGACAUGAGCACAAGGGGCAUGCCUUGUACUGGGGCUCAUGCCAGGUUUGUACAGGGGGCUUCACCCAUGCUGGUGGAGCACUUGUGGGCCCAAAUGAAGGAAUGGUUUUGUGGUGAAGUGAGGUGUACUUUUGAGGACAGUGGGGACAGCUCCAGGCUGGUGUUGGAGCGGGUGGUGAGAAAGGAGGUGGUGGGGAAAGGGUGGUCUGAUAAUAUGAGAGCGGAAUUAGAUAAUUUGGGGAAGGAAAUAGAAGAUAAAUUGCUGGCAGAGCUUGUGGAGGAUUCUGUGGCAGAUUUGACAAGUUGGGUUUGAUGAGGCUAUCUUUCUUCCCUCCCUAUUUAUUGCAACUCUUAUUUGUCUAUUUGUGCAUUUGAUUCUCAACAACGAUGGUCCCUACCUACCCUACCCUACCUUUCUCAUUUGUUUAAUGCUGCAAGCGACUACAUUAAUGUCAAUUUGUUUAGUUUGUGUUCUUAUUGAUAAUAUAAUACAUCUGCUAACCUGAUAUAUUAACUUGGACUGUCAAAAUCUUCCUAAUUCUCUCAUACAUUCUGUUCGUAUAAUAUGCAAAAUCGCCAUGCCAAGACGAAAUGUGGAGAUGAAGGCCACUAGUUUUGGUUCUUUUGUCCUGAUAUAUUUGGCAUUUCAGCAGUGGGUGAUAUGCCAGUGCCCUCUUCAGAAAGGGACCGCUCCGGUUGAAGUUAAAGCUCUUUGACCCGCGUCGUCUUCAACUAAAGCGGUAAACUUUCCAUAUUCACAUUCUCCAAGGCUAUCUACAGCUGGGUCCCUAACUGGAGUCCCAAAAGGUUGAGGUCACUUCUUUUUGUUUUACCAAGUCCUAAUGAAUUUACCAUUUGAAUCGGUUUUGGUUUGAAUAUUGCUCGACAAUAAAAUUUUUGAAAAUGAUUUGGGUUUUAGGGUUUCUGUGUGGUAUUAUAUUGUUACCUUACCUUUCUUAAAUGAUGA
RNAcentral lists this unclassified non-coding RNA (1480 nucleotides) under Hevea brasiliensis (rubber tree). Lineage: Eukaryota; Viridiplantae; Streptophyta; Magnoliopsida; Malpighiales; Euphorbiaceae. The record is from RNAcentral.